AAAGAAAAUAAUAGAAGGAUUGGAGCGGAGAAGGAGAAGGGAACGCCAGGAGCUUCAAGCUUCAAACACGGAAAAGUCCACCACUGUGGUUCGUGUCUCGUUCUGUGUUUCGCGUUCUCACCGGUUCAGUAGCAGCAAUCCAGGAGCUUCAAGCUUCAAACACGGAAAAGUCCACCACUGUGGUUCGUGUCUCGUUCUGUGUUUCGCGUUCUCACCG
Vigna unguiculata (cowpea) is the source of this 217-nucleotide long non-coding RNA. The record is from RefSeq and is a predicted model, not a curated record. NCBI's taxonomy places the organism in Eukaryota, Viridiplantae, Streptophyta, Magnoliopsida, Fabales, Fabaceae.